Molecule: ribosomal RNA, 262 nt
Filed under: uncultured prokaryote
Description: partial 16S ribosomal RNA
Rfam family: Bacterial small subunit ribosomal RNA
Source: RNAcentral
UACGUAGGUGGCAAGCGUUGUCCGGAAUUAUUGGGCGUAAAGCGCGCGCAGGCGGUCCUUUAAGUCUGAUGUGAAAUCACGUGGCUCAACCACGUGCGGUCAUUGGAAACUGGAGGACUUGAGUGCAGAAGAGGAAAGUGGAAUUCCAAGUGUAGCGGUGAAAUGCGUAGAGAUUUGGAGGAACACCAGUGGCGAAGGCGACUUUCUGGUCUGUAACUGACGCUGAGGCGCGAAAGCGUGGGGAGGCAAACAGGAUUAGAUA